AGGAACCAGCAUUUACCUUGUGCUCUGGGGCAUCGGGACACCGGCUUCUCAUUGUGUGACCUCCCUGCUACUCAGGGAAAGGGGCUCAAGCAGAAGCUUCAGUCAUGCAGAAUGGCGUCCUGGCAGCGCUGGGCAGGAGGAGGGGCCCUUCAGCCUCGUAAUUGUACAGCAAGAUUUGAUUUUAGUAAGAUUAGGCUUCAUAGAUGAUAGGAAGGAUUGUCGAAGUUUCAUGGAAAGAAAGGAGAAAUGGACAGUUACUCCAAAAAAAAGGUUAAUUUGAAUUUGUUUUUGGUUCAAGCUAGCUUGUGAUACCUCUCUAUUUAAAGACACAGCAUGUUAAAACCAGUGGACACAUAACCUAAAGUAGGGUUGGUGACUUGUCUUUUUUUAAAAUUGUUUCUAUUGUAGAGAAGGGGGGUCUCGCUAUGUUGCUCAAGCUAGUUUUGAACUCCUGGGCUCUUUAAAUCCUCUUGCCUCAGCUUUCUGAGUAGCGAGGACUGUAGGCAUGCUCCACUGUGCCUGGCUUGAUGACUUGUUUUUAUAGGGCUUAUAGGAUCCCCAACCUCCUGAAGGACAUUGAUUGCAAGUGGGAAGCAGAGAGUUAAUUAAAUAAAUAUUAUGGAUUUUACAUAUUGAUUCUAUUGCUGUGGCCUAUUGAAGGAAAUGGGGAAAGAGGUAUGCCCACAGAUACAGCCUUGUAAACCCAUGGAUUCCCAUCCAGCAGACAGCUCUAAUGAAGCUACAUCUCCAUCUUGUGACUUAUAAAAGGCAUUGCUGUAAAAGACUUAAAGAUUUCUUGAGCUUUUGCAAAUACAGUCUUCAGUAUGAAUGUUACCGCUUGACAUUUGCCUUUUAGGUUGAAUGAAAUUUAAAUGAAGGCAGGCACUAAUACACAUAUUGAUUGCAAGUUCCUCUCCUGUAUUUUAAAAUAUGCUAAGAAAGAGUAUUUAGAAAUUGUGUGUACGCUCCUGAUCCCUCUCUUUCAUUGAUUCAGCAAUAUUUACUGAGUGCCUGCUAUGCACCAGGUGUUGUGCUAGGAGCUGUAUUAAGGAGAACACCAGGUCCCUCCUUAUGAGUCUUAAGUUUUAAGAGGGGAAACCUUCGUAAAUGAAUGUGUCAGGGUUUAGUGAAGCAGAUACAGAGUAGGGUAAUGAGCGAGAAUCAGCUGGGUAGGGUACUGUCUUACGUAAGGGAGGAUCAGAAAAGUCACCUAAAAGUAACAUUUAGUUGAAACCUUAGUGAAGUGAGAAGGACAACCUUUUGGAUAUCAGAGAAUUCUGAGGCCUAAGGUGAAAGCAUGCCUGGCAUGUUCAAGAAAUAGCCAGGAAUGUUUCUGUAGCACAGCAAGGAGGGGCAUGGUAGGAGAGGUGGGUGGUGGGCUUGUGGGAGGGGUGUCCCAGAGGGAGUGGAUCAGGUCUGGCCUGUUGACCCACCAUCAGGGCAUGGUGAUGUGCCCUGCGUGAGCAGCUUCUGAACAGAGGAGUGACUCACUCUGACAGCAGGGCUCACUGUGGCCCCUGAGUCUGUGGUCUCUGGGGGCUACUGCACAUCAGACUGGGACUGGUGGCUGGGUUGUGUGGCAGCAGUGGUCGUGAUAAGAAGCAGUGAGAUCCAGGCUGUACCUUGAAGGUAGAGAAAAGAAAAUUUGCUCCUAGAAUGGCUGUGGGCGAGGGUGGGCGAGGGCUGAGGAAUGGGAAAAGCUAGGAGGAGCUGAGAUGCACUGAGAUGGCCCCGAGGGAUUGGUAAUGGAAUGCUUAUUGAAUAGUCCCUUAAGACUUUAAUUUUAUCAGACUUAUGGAGUUAAUGUAGCUGUUUUAAAAUUAAAAAAUUUUUAAAUCUUACGUGAUUAGUAAAGAGAAACAUCUCAAACAUUUUUUAAUGUUUAGAUGUUAAAAUCAGUUUUAAGAAGUCAUAUUGAUACUGGUUUUUUACUGUAAACCUAUUUAUGUGAGGAGUGGAUAAGAGAUCUGAUUGACAAGGUUUUAAAAUUCUGCAAAAAGCCUGUGUGGAAGAAACACAUAAGAAGAUGAAAAGGAUGGAACAGUCUAUAGAAUGUGGUGGUUUAACCACACUGUGAGAUUGCAUUCACUCCCCUCGGCCUGGCCCAGGUGGUCUCAGGGUCUUGUCAGCCUGCAACCCCAUGGCUGCUGCUGCUUCUGUUCCUCCCUCAGCUCCUGCCCAUCAUCUCUCUUCAGUCUCCACAGCCCUUUGGCGUCCUCUCUCCUUCCCCUCCUCUCUGCCUCUUCUUGGUGUCCCCCACCCUCCCUACUCCUUACUCAUGCCUCCCAGCCCCUCCCUAGCUGUGACUCUCCUCUCUCCCUUCUUUCAUUUCUCUUGUGACCUCUCAUUCCCUCUGGAAUUUUAAAAAUACACAGCCAAGGUCCUGUCUUCCUGCUGAAGAGAAAGCUGCUUUCCUUUUCCUGCAGCUCCUGCUUGUAUCAGGCAGAUGUGGAUUGUCUCCCCUCGCUGCUGCGGGAUUUGCAGCCAUUAGCUGAGAAUGGGAGUCUUGCGCAUCAGAAAGAGCCCAGCUUUAUUUUGAAAAACAAAACAUGACUCCAAAGUGGUGAAUAUUUUGAGUAUGGAAUAAUAAUCCUUAACUGCAUAUAUCCAUAUCCGUUUGAGGUCAUUUUUAUCAUGUUUGCUUCUUGUUUUGAGAAAUGUCUUGGCAGUCAUCCAGCCUUUGCAGAACCUCAGGAUCAAAUGGUUCCCUUAUGUGUAGGAAGUGAAGCUUCACUUUGAAAACCUCAGCAGUGAAGAGAGAGUGACUGAAUAAUUGAGAGGUUGAAGGAAGCUUCUGAUGAAUGGAUCCAAAUCAAAUCUUUGAAGAGAUUUAUGUGGCAACAAGGCAGUCCCCUCUUUACCCUCGCCUGGCUUUGGCUCUGAAAAAAACACCUGCUGUGUUCAUGUGGCCCCCUUCUGUUGAAUUUACCACUUUUUCUUGCCUCAGGAAUCACAGGAAUAAGCAAAACAAAUGUGUCCCAGCUAAUGUAAGUCCAUGGGCCUCCCUCCUUCCCUUUUUCCUCCCAGUUUUCUGUAUACUUGGAACAUUUUAGUUAUUUUUAUUAUUAUUAUUUUUUUUUUGAGAUGGAGUUUCACUCUUGUUGCCCGGCUGGAGUUCAAUGGCACGAUCAUGGCUCACCAUAACCUCUGCCUCCAUAGUUCAAGCGAUUCUCCUGCCUCAGCCUCCCUAGUAGCUGGGAUUACAGGCAUGUGCCACCAUACCUGGCUGAUUUUUGUAUUUUUAGUAGAGACUGGGUUUCUCCGUGUUGGUCAGGCUGGUCUCAAACUCCCAACCUCAAGUGAUCCAUCUGCCUCAGCCUCUCAAAGUGCUGGGUUUUCAAGUGCGAGCCACUGCACCUGGCUUAUCAUUACUAUUUUUUUAAGAGACGGGGAUCUUACUACAUUUCCCAGGCUGGACUCAAACUCUUGGGCUCAAGUGAUCUUCACACAUCAGCCUCUGAGCAGCUGGGACUGCAGGCAAGCCACAAUGGCCGGCUAGUUAUUAUUAAACUUCGUUGCCCGUGGCAUAUUAAUUUGUUCUAACUACCUAGUAUGUGAUCUAACUACAAGAGUCUUGAUGAACGUGUUUCCCUUGGCAUUUAUGUGAAGACUUUGAAGCAGCUGCUCUGUGAGAGGGUUGGUGAAAUAAGCACCUGAAGGUGCGAGUUCCCUGCUGUGUGGCAGGGAGGUUGGGCCCUUGGACCUCCUGGGCCUGGCAGACCUGCUGCUUCAUGAAGAAACUAACCUUUCUUACGUCAGUGCAGACCCUACUCAUCCUCCAGGCUCAGCUCGGUUCCCAACCCAUCCCGUAGCCAGUGCUCCCUCUUCGCACUGUGUCUCCUAUGUGCUUCACUCACUGGCAGUUCAUCAUCUGCCUUCUGGUGCUGACUGCUGAUUCCCAGCUGUGUGUUCCUUGCGGUCUUAUUUCUGAGUUGAUUGUCCUCCUAGUUUGUAAACUUAUUAAGGGUGAGGACUUAAUGAUGAAGGUAAUUUCUCUCCAUAUGAGGGGCUUGAAGAAUCUUGAUGACUCUUUGUUCAAGGUAAUCCUUUUAAAACAUUCUUCACUAUACUUGUCUUCGAUCCAGGAUUUUAAACUUGUAAUAGUUAAUAAUUAUGAAUCAGCACAUUAAAGAGAAAAACUUUUACGUGCCUCAGAAACCAACCUUUAAAAUUUUACCUUUGGAGCCUGGUCAACACAGCAAGACCUUGUUUCUACAAAAAAUGAAAAAUAUAAUAAAAUAGCUGAACAUCAUGCUAUGUGCCUGUAGUCCCAGCUACUCAAGAGGUUGAGGUUGGAGAUUCGCUUGAGUCCAGGAGUUCAAGGCUGCAAUAAGCCGUGAUCAUGGCACUGCACUCCUGCCUCGGCAACAAAGUGAGACUGUCUCCAAAAAAAAUAAAAAAGUUUUACAUUUUACUUUUGGAAAAAGCUCCCACAUUAAACUCUUUCUUAUCCACCCCCCUCCUCCGCCAAUACCCAACCUUUUCUUCCUAGGUCUUUAAGAUAAUCAUGAAUUUUGGAGAUCUUAGACCUCAGAAUCACACAAUGGGAGGCCUUUCAUCUCAAACUCUCAGUUUAUUUCUCUGACAAUGUUCCUAAUUGAAGUUGUUUUGGGGCUGAGAUAGUUUAAAUCUUGAACUGAAGUAAAAAUGUGCCAAUUUCUGUCAAAUUCUGUACCAGAUACUGCAAAUGAAUUCUGCUUUUGCUUAGUGGCUGUGAGAAAUACCUUGGUAGCUAGCCUGGAUCAUGUCUUUCAGGCUAAGUAAACUUGGUCAGAUCAGAGAAGCAUUUUGGAAGAAAUGCUAGGUCAGUUUCUGAAGCUUUAAAUACCAAGGGAUGGGCAAGGAUGGAGCCAAAGUAAAUGGCUGCCUUUUGCCUCUGAGAGUUACAUUGAUGGUUAACCAAUUUCACAUAUAUUAUGCUAAAAAUAUGGUUCCUUUUCAGGAAGUCAUCCAGAUUGGUAGAAUUUAGGAAGAUAAAAAGGAGGAAAUACAGAUUAAAACAUUUUUAAAAACCCACACAAACAAAACCCUAGAUUAUUAGGUUUUUAAUUAAACAUGAUGAACACAUUCAAAUAUAAUACAAAGGCCCUAGGCUGAACUGCACCUAAUUGAAAUAGAUUAAGUCACCCUUCCAUGCUUGGGUAGUUAUUAAUUCUGUUUAUUUAUGCAUGUGAGCUGAAGGUAGCAUUUGCUGCUGUUUUGUUGGCGCUUAUUGCACUGGGAUUCCGUUGCUGCUUGAUGCUGUGCUCUUAAUUAGCAUUCAGCUGUUGAUUAUGGAAAUAGUGGGGAUGUUAAUUGAAUUCUUUUUAAAAUUCAGGGCCUGCAUUUUCCUUGUGGAGUUUGGUUGGACUUGCAAGGUUGUAAGAUUGGGUGUUCCACUGAGCUGUGCAUCUCACUCUUUGCUUCCUAUCCACUUAGCUGUGUUUUGCUUUUUAAAAUUAUUUUCAUGUUGAAUUAGCUUUUAGCAACAAUCCAGAUGUUGCAAAAAGUGAAGGUUCUGUUGCUUACCAUUUUACUACAGGGUGUUUUUUAUUUCAUCUUGAGUAACUAUAGCUUUUAUCUUAAAAUACACCACCCAUUAAAUAUUUUAUAUCAAUUCUGAUGUAAUACAUUGAGGUGAACAACCUAGAUACAAAUAAGCUCUGAAAUUUUUAUCCAGAGAUAGUUAAUCUGUGGUGGUGAUAAACCUUAAUUGGCCAUGUACAUGGAUUUAUUUACAAGUUCAUAAAUUUUAAAAUAUCUAAACCUUCUUUUAAUUUUUAGCUCAGCCUAUCAUAAAUAUAAAUGAAAAUCCUUCUUUCAAAAUUGGCAUGAGAUGGCAAAGCAAUUUUCUAAAUAUUUGUAAUCCAGUGAACCCGUGCGGCUGGUCAAGGAAUUACUUACACAGAAUACACACAGCUAUUUGUAUGGUGUCUUUCCCCAGCAUCUUCAGAUGCCUUUGUUAUGCCCUUUUGGAAUGUCUGCUUGAGAAAACAUUGUUUUCAUUGUUCACUCUUUUCAAGCCAGGCAUCGGGAUGUGCCAGAAGACAGAGCUGCUUAGUGGGGCAAAAAUACAAUGAAUUUUAUUUACUGUUUGCAAAUGGAAUUCACAGCAAAAUUCCAGUGAAGGUCCAAUAGCAGCAGGAGGUUGUGGAGGUGAAAACAGCAAGGAGGACAGUGACAAAGAGGGAGAGAGGUUCUCAGAGCUUGUAGUUAUGGUUACAUGGGUUUCAGAUACUAAUAAUCUUGGUGGUUUUGUUUUUUAAAAUUUUACAUCAACAGUAUAGGGGAAGGCUUAGUUUAUAUUUACUUCACGAAUGGUAAAAUUUCCAGAGUUGUUGACCAUUUAUUCAAAAAAUGAUGAUAGGAGUGUCUUGUAGGUCACCUAGUAUGAACGCUUUCACUUUCUUAUUCUUUUUAGGAUUUUGUGCAGAUUUUUUCUAUUGUUAGAACAACAUCCUAAAAUCAUUAAAGGGAAUUUAAAGCCUCCCCACUAACAGAUCGUCUCACAGUGUCUGGCUUCAUUGUCUUGCUUGCUGGCUUCUUGCUUUCUUCUGGUGUUUGCUUAUGUACGUACGUGGUUUAAUGUCAUUGUCAGCUUAUGUAUGUGUACAGGUUUGCAUACAUGUGAGUUGAGCCAGAACAUUGAAAUUAUCUUUCUAAAGAAAUUAUAACUUGGAAAAUUUUACAGUUCAUUUGGAACCUUUGCUUUUUACCUAAAAUCUAAUUACAGUGUAUCUACUGCAUCACAUAGUAGGUAUAUAGUACAUUUUAAAUUGGAUCACAGUAGGUUUUCCUCUCUACUAACCAUCCCUCUUCCAGUUUUAAAUGACAUUAGUACUGUUUCUUAUGAAGGACUAAAUUUGUAUAUAUGAGAGUAGGAAAAAUAAGAGAAAUAGGAAUGUUGAUAUAGUACACGUAUAUGUACAUAUUACUCCAUGUUAUGUAUUCAUAAUGUGACCUAUAGUAAGAAUUAGCCCUUAAUAUUAAAAAGAAAAAUGUAGGUUCAAGUGAGAUAUGCCUAAGGUUUCUACUAUUAAUAAAACUGAACUGUUUUUCCUAUGGUUAAUUCCCAUCAGCCUUUGAUCCAAGCCCUUGCUUAAAGAAGUCAAUAGUAUGGAUAGAGUGGAGUUUAUCAUCAAGUCCUUUUGGAAAUGAGACAGCAAAUUAAAAAUCAAUUAUAUGCACAGAAAAGUUGGUGUAAGGCAGUCAGUUCUGUCAAUUAGUUUGCAGAAAGAUUCUGCUGUUACAUAAGCUAUAAAGAGAAAUGUGUUUUAAAAAUCCCUUAGUAAAUGAAAUAGGACAAGCAUUUUAUUAGAAGGGAAAAGAUAUUUCAAAAAUUUAUUUCAGUAGUUCCUGUCAGUAGAAGUUGCCUCUGGGAUAAAUGUACGAAUUUAGCCGUGACCUUUCCAUUCACAUACAUGGCUCUGCUGCUUUCUAGGCUUCCUCGUUACACUGUAGUCAAAGAAGUUAGUAUGCCCAUUUUUCUCUUUGUGUUUAACAAGAUUUUCUUUUCUUAUUUUCUUUAACCAGUACUUUUUUAAAUUUCAUUAUCCCCAGUUCUACUUUUAGAUUAAAAAAAAAAAAGAAAGCCAGCAUACCUUGUGCUGUUCAUUAGGGCCGUGCGUGUGUGUGUGUGUGUGUGUGUGUGUGUGUGUGUGCGUGCGCGCGUGCGCGCAUGCACGUCUGUAUUUAGGCAUUAGGGCUAUACAGAGACCUGGAAAGUAGCCCCACAUUGAAUACAAGCACACUUAAAUUAUUCUGGCUGCUUGGGAUAAUCUUUUUAAAUUGAAGAGUGCUUUUGAUGGUAUAUUUUUCAUUUUUUGCUGGGGGGUGGGCAGUAAUAGGGGGAGUCUUCAGCUUGAAAGAUUAAUAAAUGCUAGAGCAGUGGGUUAUUGAAGCCAUGUUUCCAUCUUAUUUUCAAGGGCAUGUAAAAAAUGGAGAUAGCAUACACUUUCAGCCACUCUCUAUCAUCUUUCUCUGUUCAUUUAAAAAAUGAGAACAAGGCACAAGGGGACUUGAGAGAUUGCAUUUGUUCUCCCAUAGACAUAGAGGUUAUUUUAUAAAUGAAGAGGAUGGAAAACGCUUUUCUUGUGCAGUUUCUUAGCAACAGAAUUGGAGUCAAUUUUAAUGUGUGUGUUUAGAACAUUCUAUGUAGAGUGACAUUGGAGACUUACAUUUUCACAGGUAAAACAUACUACACUGCUAACUGAAAUUGAGGGUUGGGAGAAGGAAACAGGAAGUGAAAAAUGAGAACCCUUCCAUGAGAGGAAGUUAUUCAUUUAGAUCUGCCUCCUCGCUCCUGGAGUACUUCUGCCUUAAACCUAAAGUCUCCCUUAGGCUGGGCAUGGAGGCUCAUGCUUGUAAUCCCAGCACUUUGGGAGGCUGAGGUGGGCAGAUAUCCUGAGGUCAGGAGCUCGAGACCAGCCUGGCCAACGUAAUGAAACACCAUUGUUACUGAAAAUACAAAAUUAAGCCAGGUGUGGUGGGGUAUGGGGUACACCUGUAAUCCUAGCUACUUGGGAGGCUGAGGCAGUUGAAUCGCUUAAACCCAGAGACUGAAGAUGCAGUGAGCUGAGACUGUGCCACUGCACUCCAGCCUGGGCGACAGGGCAAGACUGUCUCAAAUAAAUAAAUAAAAAUAAAGUCUCCCUUAGGUGGAAGUAGUAAUGGCCUUGGUAGCCCCCAGUUGCCACCUUCACUAGAGUGCCAACCUGUUUUCUGUCUUCCUUGGGAGUAUUUUGUUGUUAUUCUUUUCCUUACACCCUGCAUGCAACUAACUGACGCUUUGAUUUGAUGUUGUUUUUGCACUUACUUUAAAACAUUUUUCCAAAGUAGCUUUAUAUAGGUGAAUUCUAGUGUGUUUUCCACAUUUAUAAAGCAACGUACUGAGCUAUCAGGAAGCAGAAUGUGUUUGGUGGUUAAAAGGGGAGAAAGACAAUGCCUGGUACUGGCCUCAGCAUCUGAGCAUGGGGGCCCAGGGUCUGUCUGUCUGUCUCUGUGUUCCUUGGGUUUGAGGUCAGUUUGGCAGAGGGCACGCUGGCCUGCCAGCUUCCUUUGAUUGUUGACUCUGUGUGAACAUGAAGAUAGAAUUAGCCCUUCCUACUUACCAAGUUUCUCAUUCCGUUCUGAGUUUAGAUCACUAGUUGGAAUUCAUUCAUUCAUUCAUUCAUUCCGGAAAUAUUGAUAGAGUACUGACACUCUGCCGGGUGAUACCAGAGUGAACAAAAUCGACAAAAAUCUCUGCCUUCAUGGAGCUGAGAUUGUAGUGGGGAAGGAAGCUAGAUUAAAACAAUCUUGCUAAGUGACAUAUACAGUGUGUUAGUCCUGAAAAGAUUAAAAACAGGAAAGCGAUAUGAAAUAACAGGUAGAGGGGUUGAACUUUUACUUAAGAUAGCUACGGAGAGUUCACCUUUGAGUAAAGACCUUUAAAAAAGUGAGGAAGCUAGCCUUGCAUAUAUACAGGGGAAGAGAAUUCUGGGCCAAGAAAACUGAGUGCAAAGGCCCUGACGUGGGAGCAUGCCUGGGAAAAAGCAAAGCUGCCGUGGAGUGGAUGGAGAAGAUGAAGUCAGACAACCACCAGGAUCUUAGACCAGAGUUGUUUGCUCCUAUUUUGUGCCUCACGGUUGAGUUACAUUAUCAGACUCAUGAGGAAGUCUUGAGGACUGUUCUGUUUUCUCCCAACAGAGUGUCUCCCAUAACAGUGUUUUUAUGGCUUCAGUUAUGUAGGACUCUGAGUCAUGCAUUCCUCUGGCUUCUGCAGCAGCUCACUGUGUCAAGAUUGAAGCGUUUUUGUUUUCUGACUGGUUUAGACAGUAUUUACUGCAUAUGUUUACUAUAAAUUCAGCAUUUGUGAGAGGGGUUGUUUUUCCUGAGUAGGAGCAAGAAAAUACCUGGAAAGACGUGUACCUGCUGUACCUCUGUCUUGGAGUAGUCAUUAUUCUUGUCAUCAGCAUGUCUAAUUCAAAUUAGGGAAGUUCUAAUUCAGGAAGUGAAGACUGUGGAAAACUUGAAGCUGUAGAUAUCAUGCUCUAUACAUCAAAUGAAAAGAGAGUCUUCUCAAAAAUCUUUCUUUCUUGAAUCAAAUCCCCUGGCUUUGAGACUUAGCUCAGGGGAGAGUCCCUCUGAUAGUGCUGUUUGACAAAACAGGCCAGCUUCCCUUGUCGGCCGGCAUUCACUUGCUCUGGGCCUGUGGUGAUUAUUCUUAACGUCUGGAGGAUGGUUGCUAAGUGCACUGACUGACUAGAAUGCUGGGCCAAGCUUAGUGUUCCCUAGUAGCGUUCUGAUCUUCUUCUUUCUCCAAAACUCAUUCUCAUGAGAGGUUAGGAUGCUCAUGAGGCACUUUAGAAUCAGGAGUGGCCCAUGACUAAUGAAGGCCUGGACGUCACUGCCUUUUGUAGGCCCUGCUGCACCAGGUUGGGAAGACAAGUUCAUUUGGGUGCCUCCACACUGAACUAGGAAGUCUUGAGGGCAGGGUUUUAGUUUAAUUCUUUUUGUAGUCACAGAAGCUGGCCCAGCACAUGGAGCAGGAUUGAUCAUCAGAAAAUACCAUUUGAGUGAGUGGAACAGGAAAACCUCAGAUCGCUUCAGUGGAGUGACCUCUUUGGUGGAGCUCCUGAGCUGCCAGAGCCUAGGGAGGCUUCUCCUUUGACCAGCAUAGGGCUAGUGCACGCCCUGAGCAUCACAAGAACUGUUUAACUGGAUGUGUCCCUGUUCUUUUAGUCUCAGUAGCUUCCUUUGGAAGGAGCAACCAACUCCUUCCAGUUUGUGGUUUUAUUUUCUGUCUUCCAAUUUUAAAAACUCAUUCAUUGCCAAUAUCACCUGAUGUGUACUGAUGAUACGUGUGGUUGAUAUGUUCUAUUAUGGGAGAAUGAGUGAUGGAGGGAGAAGGAAAGAGCUCAGUGGGCAGCACAGGUCAAUCUGGCUGUCCAGCACACCUUCCCAUACAAACCAGCACUGUUUCUGGUUCGGGAGUCAUGGUCCCUCGUGAUCUUGCCACUGCACUCCAGCCUGUGUGACAGAGUAAGACCGUGUCUCUAAAAAAUAAAAAAAAAAAAUUUUUAAAAAGGAAUCAUGCUGCUAAGAACACCAGCAAGAUUGUUAUUCUGAAAAUAGGAUAAUGCCCAGAGGCACCCUGAACAGCUUUGUCACCACUGCCCUGUGUCCCUCCUGGUUCUGCUCUCUGAGGGCUGCUGAAGUCCUGGUACCAGAGAUCUCUGGGGAAGGCCCAUAACCUCCUGAAGAAGAUAAGCCAGGCUCUUCACUCUCCUAUAUGGAAAAUUCAUUUUUGGGGUGGGUUGGUGGGCAAAAGCAGGGAGAGGGCCUGGUGGUUUGUGGAGAGAAAACUGGCCUCAGAGUCAGAAGUGCAGGUAUCAGUCCUCAGAUUGGCAGUACCUGUAUAGCCUCAAGGAAGCAGGGUCUCCCCAAACCCCUUCUUGAGGUGUUUUUUCUUUUGUUUUUAGAGUUUUGCUCUGUUGCCCAGGCUGGUCUUGACCUCCUGACCUCAGGUGAUAGGAGAUCUGCCUGCCUCAGCCUCCCAAAGUGUUGGCGUUACAGACAUGAGCCACCACACCUGGCAAGUCUGAAGUCUUUGUAUCAAAGAAAUAAUAAGAAAGGGAGAAGGAAAGGGGAGGGGAAAAAUUCUGAGGUGCUGGCAACUGUGUUUGACAGGAAGUCAGGAUUGAGCCUAUCUUGGUCUGCUGCCUCCCCUGUCCUUUCACUUCCAGGUGAAAAAUUGGCCACAUCCUUUAAAGCUAACAGUCAUUCCGAUUUAAGAAAUUUGAAAACACACGUGCACACAUGCAUGUUUGUGUACACACACAUUUACACAGUGUCCUUUUAUUACUGAAAAUUCUUGGGAUCUCCCUUGCAGCUGAUUUUUAAGUUUUGAUCAUACUUUUAGUUUUCUAAUCUUUGCCAUUGGCAGCAAUAAAACCAAAUCUGGUAGGCUACAGAGACACAGGCUAAUUAGUACCAUAGACCACACCAGAGUGGGAGGAAGGAUGGCCCAUCACCGCAGCCAUGCUCUGUGCUCUUUUAUCCCUUGUCCUCCUCUCAACAGCAGCUUAGAGUCUUCUCUGGGAACCACUGUUUAAUAUUAAAAUCUGUGGGGGUGUCACACAUUUGCUAAUAAACUGCUUUCCAAACAGAUAUAGUCUAUCCUAAAUAUUAGUCAUUUUCUUUUUUCAGAUAGAGCCUUUAAUUAAUUAGGGUGACAGAGCUAAGUAAAUUUGGUUAUCCAUUUUUCUUUCUUUCUUUCUUUUUUUGAGACGGACUUUCGCUGUUGUUACCCAGACUGGAGUGCAACGGCACGAUCUCGGCUCACCACAACCUCCGCCUCCUGGGUUCAAGCAAUUCUCCUGCCUCAGCCUCCCGAGUAGCUGGCACUACAGGUGCGCACCACCAUGCCCAGCUAAUUUUUGUAUUUUUAGUAGAAACAGGGUUUCAACCUUGUUGACCAGGAUGGUCUCGAUCUCUUGACCUCGUGAUCCACCCACCUCGGCCUCCCAAAGUGCUGGGAUUAUAGGCCUGAGCCACUGUGCCCGGCUGGUUAUCCAUUUUUCAAAGAAAAUUUUAGAAAAUGAAUUUUAAACGGUUUUUUCCCUUUCUUUCCUUCCUUCCUUCCUUCUUGCUUUUCUUUUCUUUUUUUUGAGUCGGGGUCUUGCUCUGUCACCCAGGCUGUAGUGCAGUGGUAUGCUCUUGGCUCACUGCAACCUGUGCCUCCUGAGUUCAGGUGAUCCUUCCACCUCAUCCUCUCUAGUGGCUGGGACUACAGGCAUGUGCCACAACACCUGGCUAAUUUUUAUAUUUUUAGUAGAGACAGGAUUUCAUUAUUUUGGUCAGGCUGGUCUUGAACUCCUGAUCUCAGGUGAUCUGCCCACCUUGGCCUCCCAAAGUGCUGGGAUUACAGGUGUGAGCCACCACACCUGGCCUAACAAGGUCUUGAUAAGCAAAGGUCUAGGAAACUGGAUGAUCUGGAGCAAAAACGCAUCUAAUAUUAAUAAAGAGGUAGAGGAGCUUUGCUUAGAGAAGAUCUGGAACUCUGAUCUGUGGUGACCACUCCCCAUGUUGAGAGUCUUGAUUUCAUCAGGCAGAGCUGUUCCAAAUUCUCAAGCAGCUUAAAGAGUGGGGUGGACUCUGGAUUUUUGGGAUCCUACUACUCAGUCCAGUCCAUGGAAAUGAAAUUAUCUAGUCCUUUAGCAAUAACAAAAGUAGAAAAUUAUUUUCAGAUCAUCCUUUGAGACAGCCCAACUUCUUUGUCAGCUUCGUAGUCACUUUCCAAGUUUAUGACCCCAGAGCAAUCUGACCUUGGUAGCUUGUCUCUCUCAUUAAAUUCUCUGACUUCAUAAUCAGCUUACAUUUCCUUCCCCUGCCUCCCCCUCUCUUUUUAAAUCUCUGUAAAACAUUCAAGUGAUCUACGUAGAUUUAUCUUGCUUUUAGGCCACACUCUGAGAUGCGUGAUCUGGUUGCUCACACAUUUGGAGGAAUCCAUGAGCAUCACACCAUAUACUCUCCACUGGUUUGAAAUCGUUGUGGUCACUCGGGCAUUCCAUUGUUUUGAAGAUAGACGUGUAUAAGGGUACACUCUACUGAGCCUGAGUAUCUUCACAAAAGGGGUGGUGGAUUCUUGAAGGUGAAGAGCAAACAUUUCUCUCUGUUUCUGGAUAAUAACUUUAAAUUUGCCUUAGAAUUUAUACAUGGAAAAAGAAAGGUUUUUAUUUUUUACCUUAAACUGAAUGUAAUUCCCCUGCAUGUCCAUACCUUCUCUGUGUGCAGGGCUCUGCUGGAGGUUUGAGACCUUUUUGUCCACUGUUUGUUCUCAUAAUUCUUUCUCUAGUUGAAUAUUCCAUUCCCAUCAUUGUUAGUUUCUUCUUCUGUUAUUCAAGAGACCUUUUUUUUUGGCUUAGCUUUUUUAGACUUACAACAAACGUUAUUGAUUCCUGUGUGCAAAAGGAAGGGAACAUAUAACUGACUUUAAACAAACUGCAUUUGUUCUUUCACUGCUAAGAUCUCUGCAGGAGCUACCACCAACCUUGGUAAUUACUUGGCAGUGUGGCCAGCAACUUGCCAUCCCACUUUGGUAUCCUUGACUGAUUUUGGUAGUUGAGUGUAAGAGAGUGCUUGAGUUGGACUUAAUCACCACAGAAUCUAGAGGGGACAGCAGCCACACAAUUGGAAACUUGUUUUGAGUGUCUCUGUUGCUUCAGAUGGUGUGCUAGGGCUCACAGGGACUGCAGAGGCAAGCAGCUGCACUCCGCUCUUGGACAGGGAGAUCAGGAAGGGUGCUGCAGAGGAGGCUUAUUUGAGAGGACCUUGAAGGAUGGAUAGGAGUUCACUGGGCAGAGGUUAAUGGAAGAACAAGGGCUAAAAGAAUUUGAGCAGUUGGUUAGUAGCUAGUUGCCCAGUUUGGAUGAAGCUUAUGGGUGGGGAAGGGUGUGAGGUAACUAAUUCAGAGCCUCCCACUUUUGAUGGAUAAGUUUAUGUUUAAUUCAACAGGAAACGAGGAAAAAUUAUGUAUUUUCAAAUGUGGGGAAGGAUGGGACUGGAGCUGCCCUAGAAGAACGAUCUGGCAGUAGCAUUGGAAGAGUAGAGGUGGGCUGAGGACUUCUUGUGAGCUUGUCUGCACAUUAGAGUCAUCGGGAGAGCUUGAAAAUGCCCCAGUGCUGGUCUGUGCCCCAGCUAAUCAGAACAGAAUUCCUGGGGUGGGCCAUGGGCAUCCAUAUUCUAGGCCCUGAGAACCGCUGGACUGGGUCAGGACUGUAUUCCUAGUGAGAGAUGUCGAGAGCUGUCAGUCUACAGCAGCACUUCACAAUGUUAGGUGCACAGUAGACUCACAUGAGGAACUUUAGACACACAGAGCAGAGACUUGGGUCUGAUUUAAUUCAUCUGGGAUACAGCCAGGAUGUUGGGACACUAAUAUGCAGUCAAAGUAGGUGGAAGUUUAGGCUAGAAAAUUGGUGGGAGGUCAGGAUGUUGAGGCAAUGAGUGUUUUUUUCUUUGUUUGUUUGUUUAUUUUUUGAGAUGGCAUUUCGCUCUGUCACCCAGGCUGGAGUGUAGUGGUGCGAGUUCAGUUCACUUCAAACCCUGCCUCCCAGGUUCAAGCGAUUCUCCUGCCUCAGCCUCUCGAGUAGCUGGGAUUACAGGUGCGCGCCACCACACCCAGCUAAUUUUUGUAUUUUUAGUAGAGACAGGGUUUCACUAUCUUGGCCAGGCUGGUCUUGAACUCCUGACUCCAAGUGAUCCACCCACGUCAGCCUCCCAAAGUGCUGGGAAUACAGGCAUGAGCCACUGUGCCCAGCCGAGGCAAUGAGUAUUGACUGCAUUGUUGAGAUAAUGAAUAGUUAAGUCCCAGGCUGCAUGUUGAACAUGAGAAACCAGUACAGAGAUGGUAGAGGAGUUGAGGAACACAAUCAAGCAGAGGGAUGUUGUGGGGGCCAUGGAGUAAAUAGGGAAAGUCUGUGGUUUCACGUCUUAGGCAUGGCUAUCGGUAGAUGGCUAGGUUGGAAUAAUGAACACUAAGCAUGGUGGACACAGAAUAUUCGAUCUGGCCGGGCGCGGUGGCUCAAGCCUGUAAUCCCAGCACUGUGGGAGGCCGAGGCGGGUGGAUCACGAGGUCAAGAGAUCUAGACCAUCCUGGUCAACAUGGUGAAACCCCGUCUCUACUAAAAAUACAAAAAAUUAGCUGGGCAUAGUGGCGCGUGUCUGCAAUCCCCAGCUACUCAAGAGGCUGAGGCAGGAGAAUUGCCUGAACCCAGGAGGCAGAGGUUGCGGUGAGCCGAGAUUGUGCCAUUGCACUCCAGCCUGGGUAACGAGCGAAACUCCGUCUCAAAAAAAAAAAAGAAUAUACGAUCUGUGUUUUCCACAUUCCUGAGAGUGCUGUUGAAAGGUAGGAUGGAGGAAGAGACUUUGUUGCAGGUCUUAGAAUAGGCGGAGAUGGGUUUGGCAAGUGGUUGACGCUGUGAUGGGGGAACCCGGAUGGGCAUGGUUGAUGAGAUGGUGAGACAGCAUUGCUACUGUUAUAAAACUGAACUUCUGGCCCUGUAACUGGAGGGGUUAAAAGGAAUGCUCUCUGGAUAUGAAUGUGAGAAAGCUGCAGCAGGGCUCAGGGGUUGGGGUAUGAGGUCAUUAGGAGAACUGCAUGUGAGAGGACAGUAGGUAUCUAGGGGACAUCAUGUGAGGCAUCAGUUGGGAUUUCCUAGGGUGAGCAUCUGGUCCAAAGGACGUCUAGUCUGGACUGGGCUGGGAAUACAGGAAGGGCUGGAAAGGAAGGAAGUGUAUGCUGUGCCUAUCAUUUACUUCCACACGGAGAGGGAAGUGAGCAUUGCCUUCGCACGCAGCUCUGCUGGGUGCUGUGCUUCUUGGUACCCUCCCGUUUCUUGGAGCUCCUGGCUCCUCAGUGGAGUCACUAAAUCGUUAACUGCUAAAUGGAACCAAAGUCCAUUGGCUCCAUUUAGAAGUUGAAGGUGGAGGAAAGGUGCAAGGAGACAGAGGUUUGUGAAUGGAACAAUAUGUAGAACUAAAAUUGCAGAUUUGAGUAUUGGCUGUACAAUAUAUUCCUGGUGUUUGUUCCUCAGUCACUCAACAAACAAUGAGUAGAGUGUACAAGGCACCGUCUCAGCUGUGGGGAUAGAAAUAACCGUGGAUGUACUGUUCUCAUGGGAUUUGCAUCCUGCUAGGGAUCACAGACAAAUAAGCAAAUUAACUUAAAUCAGAUGAAUUCAGGUAAAUGCCAUGAGGAAGAUAAAUUAGUUUUGCUACACAGAGACUGAGUAGGGUAGAGGUUGUAGAGCUAUAAAGGUACCUCCUUCCGGGUAGAAGCAGCUUCUCACACCAUGUUACUGUUCCCUCUUAAGUAAUUCUGAGUAAAUGACACCACUGAUCAUUCAUGUCAGUCAAGAGUGAUCUAUGUUUUUUAGGCCCGGGUGGUGGCUUACACCUGUAAUCCCAGCAUUUUGGGAGGCCGAGGCAGGUGGAUCACGAGGUCAGGAGUUCAAGACCAGCCUGGUCAAGACGGUGAAACCCUGUUUCUACUAAAAAGAAAUACAAAAAUUAGCCGGGUGUGGUGGUGGGCACCUAUAAUCCCAGCUACUCGGGAGGCUGAGGCAGAGAAUUGCUUGAAUCUGGGAGGUGGAGGUUGCAGUGAGCAGAGAUCGUGCCGCUGCAGUCUGGCCUGGAUGACAGAGCGAGACUCCAUCUCAAAAAUAAAUAAAUGAAUUCAUUAAUUGGAAAAAAAUAGUGAUUAUGUUUUUCUAGUAAUUCAAAUUUCUUGACUCCAUCCAAUAAUCUUUGUGGUCAUGUCUCACAAUUGCCUAUAAACUGCACAUUAUUAGAACCAGCUAAAUAAAUGUCUUUAAGACUCAAUAACUUUCAAGAGUUUAGAACAGAUUAAAUUUAGCUGAAAGGAAAGAUGGGAUCUCUACUAUGGAAGUGAAAUAACGUAGUUGUAUUUGACGGAGCAAUCUGUGCAUUUUUUAUGCCUAGCAUGAGGGACACGAUAAUGGAAUAUUUUAAAAUUCUAACAGGAUUCUUUGAAGUUUUUUCUUGACAUUUUGGACUGGGGAAAAGAUUAGAAGAGAAGGGUCUGGUUCUUGUUAAAACCUUUAUUGACAGUCUUAUGUCAGCUUCGGAUGUAAACUCCCCAUGGCCAGGAGAGAGAGAACAGGGAGAAGUUGGAGCUGAACCCAAAAUGGGGCUCUGUGUAGCUGACGGAGUUCCCUUUAAAUGUCACUGUUGUUUUAUUUUCUUUGAUGCUUCCUCAGUGUAAUAUAUUUUAUCCAAAGAGGCCGAAGGGCCUAAGACAAACAAACAAAAGACACAAAGGAGCUCGAUGUGUGGAUAAUUCAUUUCCUCUUUGUAAGGAACAUUUCUUUGAUCCUUUAUUAGGCCACAGAAUGUUUCUGUCUGCCAUUAGCUAUUCUUGACUGUGUUGAGAGGCUCCACCAAUCCCAGCAGCCUGAUCUUCUGCCAGCCUGAGAAGAAGGCCGUAAAGGCUGAUCUCGUGACUCAGGGCUGUCCCCAAGUUAACCGAGCAAAAGAGCUGCAGUGCUGCUGUGUGAGGUUUCGUGCGUGAGAUUUUGUGCACGAGUGGUGCUGACAUCAUGUCCAGUUAUUCUUCAGUUUGUGAUUUUUUUCAAAAAACAAGAAACUCUGGUUCUUCCUCCUUCCCCCCGCCCCCCCACCCCACCCCCUAGAUGGAGUCUUGCUCUGUUGGCCCAGGCUGGAGUGCAGUGGCACAAUCUCAGCUCACUGCAACCUCUGCUUCCCAGAUUCAGGUGAUUCUCCAGCCUCAGCCUUGCAAGUACCUGGGACUACAGGCACAUGUCCCCACGCCUGGCUAAUUUUUUAUAUUUUUAGUCGAGAUGGGGUUUCUCUGUGUUAGCCAGAAUGGUCUCUAUCUCCUGACCUAGUGAUCCACCCACCUUGGCCUCCAAAAGUGCCGAGAUUACAGGCAGUGGACCUGGCCUUUUUUUUUUUUUUUUUUUUUUCCUUUUUAUACCCUUCCCUCACUUGUACUUCUUUCAGAUAACUCUUCUUCUAUCUGUGGAAAACUCACCCAAUAGUAAUUAUUUUCUUUAGCAUAUUUAUGCUGAGAAGACAAAAGCAUUGGUAAACCCACAUUCUGGUUGAAUCUGUGCCUUGGACUAGUUGCAGUACCCUGGGAAAGUCAUUGGUCCUCUCUCUAAUAAAUGAGAGUAUUAAUUAAGUAUCAAUAUCUGGGCCCCUUCUGGCUCUGAAAGGCCCAGAUACUGAUAAUUGGAAAUUUCAUCGAAGAAACAUUUAUUAAACACCUGUCAUGUGCAGAGGCCUCCACAUGGCCCUGGACAGGACCUCCCCACCUCAAGGUGGUGGUCUUCUAAUGGCAGUGGUGGACUUGGAUGCCCAAAACAUAGUGCUAGGUAGAAUUGGAAAGUUCCAUGGGGCACACAGAAAGAUGGAAGCACAGAGGAUGAUGAUGUGACCUAGGCAUGAGAUAGAAAGGAAAUUUGUUGAGAGCUGCAGUAGAGGUGAGUUGACUACUUGGGAAUCCAAGUCAGAUCAUCCCACCCAAUAGCGGCUCCCCGGAUAGCAGAACUAUCCUGUGAGGAGACACAGAGAGUGCAGGAUGUGUUUGGAGAAAUGGGCAGGGCCUGGCUUGAGUUGGAUCUGGAGCUGGGGUGGCAGACACAGGCAAGUGCCACACACUCACUCUUCUGUGUCCAUUGCACACACAGUUAACACAGCACAGCCUCCUCUGGAGCUGAACCGAAACGUCAGAACCCACAUGCUUGGUAGAUUUUACCUCUGUGUAAAAGUGGGGUUCCUGCCCCAGGUGGGUGAUUAUGGGAGAUGAUUGUGUCUCUCUCUUCUCCUGCACUUGGUUCAUAACCGAGAUCACCUCUAUAAUUUCCUGCUCAUGAAGAUUAUUCUCUUUAGCCACUGGGUGUCAAGGCUGGCCCCUCUACAUGUGUAGAUGAUGACUAAAAAAUACAAUUAAUAAGUGAAAAGGAGUCCAGAUGCUUGGGUGGUGUGGGCAUGCGAGUCCAGGCUGAAGUGACAGAAUGGAAGGUGCGAAGUACUUUAAUUGGCAUGCUGAGGAGUUUGUGCUCUUUACUGUCCUUGAACAGAGGCAUAGGCAGCUUUGGAAUUCAAAUAAAGAGAAGUCUGUACCUUGGUGAACAGCAGUUACAUACUACAGGAUCUUCCAUGGUGCAGCCUGUCUUGGUUGAAGAAAGUGUUUUCAGUGACCCUAGUUUGGUUCUGUUAGGUAAAACCAGACUAAACAUAGCUGAGUUGUGGAAGCAUGCUUGGUACCCCAAAGAAUUUCUGGGUCUUCCUUUAGGUAGAUAUGAAGUUAAAAAAGUUUUUUUUAUCCCCUAAAAGGAUUUUGCUUUAAACCACAUACCCUCUCCCAAAUUUAAAUUGACAUGUUUUUUUUUAUCAUAAGGAUGUAACUUCUAACAUUACAAACAUGGACAUUUAAAAAUAAAAUUGUUGCAUCACUUUUUUAAAUAUUAAAAGAGGAUUUUAAAUACCAUAGUGAUUUAUACCCAUUAUCAUCUAUUUAAAAAAAUAUAUAAAGAAAAGAGGUUUAACUGGCUCACAGUUCUAUAGGCUGUACAAGCAUGACACCAACAUCUGUGCAGCUUCUGGGGAGGCCUCAGGGAGCUUUUACUGACUGUGGAAAGCAAAGCGGGAACACCACGUCACUUGAUGGAAGAAGGAGCAAGGGGGUAGGGCUGCCACACACUUUUAAACAACCAGAUCUUGCAAGAACUCACUCACUCAUUGUUGCAAGGACAGCACCCAGAGGAUGAUGCCUAAACCAUUCAUGAGAAAUGCACCCACAUCAUCCAGUCACCUCCCACCAGGCCCUGUUUCCAAUGUUGGGGAUUACAUUUCAACAUGAGAUUUGGGAGGGGACAAAUACACUAUAUAAUUCUGUUCCUGGCUUCCCGCAAACCUCAUGUCCUUCUCACAGUACAAAUUACAGUUAUCUCUUAUCAGUAGUCCCCCAAAGUCUUACCUCAUUCCAGUAUAAACUCAAAGGCUAAGGCUCAUCUGGGACAAGGCAAGUCCCUUCCACCUGUGAGCCUGUAAAAUCAAAAACAAGUUACUUACUUCCAAGAUACAAUGGGGUAUAGGCAUUGGAUAAACUUUCCCAUUCCAAAAGGUAGAAAUCAGCCAAAAGAAAGGGGCAUUGAGCCCUAUGCAAGUCCUGAAGCCAGCAGGGCAAUCAUUAAAUCUUAAAGCUCCAGAAUAGUCCUUGACUCCAUUUGCCGCAUCCUGGGUGCACUGAUGAGGGGUGGGCUCCCAAGGCCUUGGGCAGUUCCACCCCUGUGGCUUUGCAGGGUUCAGCAAAUUGGAGUUGAGUGCCUGCAGCUUUUCCAGGCAUACAGUGCAAGCUGCUGAUAGAUCUACCAUUCUUGGGUCUGGAAGACAAUAGCCCCUUGCCAGAGCUCCACUAAGCAGUGCCCCAGUGGAGACUCUGUGUGGGCCCUCCAAUCUCACAUUUCCCCUCCACACUGCCCUAGUAGAGUAUCUGUGUGAGGACUCCAUCCCUUCAGCAGGAAAGUUCCAAACUUUCCCUCAUCUUCCUGUCUUCUGAGCCCUCCAAACUCUUCUAACAUCUGCCCAUUACUCCAUUGCAAAGCUGCUUCUGCAUUUUCAGGUAUCUUUAUAGCAAUACCCGACUCCUGGCACCAGUUUUCCAUAUUAGGUCAUUCUUGCAUUGCUAUAAAGAAACACCAGAGAUUGGGUAGUUUAUAAAGAAAAGAAGUUUAAUUGGCUCACAGUUCUGCAGGCUGUACAAGCACGGUGCUGGCAUCUGUGUAGCUUCUGGGGAGGCCUCAGAGAGCUUUUACUUAUGAUAGAAGAUGAAGUAGGAGCAGGCGUAUCACGUGAUGAAAGCAGGAGCAAGAAUUAGCAUCUGUUUUUAAAAUACAUGAGUAAGCUUUUGUUUUGUUGGUUUUUUUUUUAGACGGAGUCUUGCUCUGUUGCCUGGGCUGGACUACAGUGGCACCAUCUUGGCUCCCUGCAACCUCAGUCUCCUGGGUUCAAGGGAUUCUUCUGCCUCAGCUCCUGAGUAGCUGGGAUUACAGGUGUGCGUCACCAUGCCUGGCUAAUUUUUCUAUUUUUAGUAGAGAUGGGGUUUCACCAUGUUGGCCAGGCUGGUCUUGAACUCUUGACCAUCUGCCUCGGCCUCCCAAAGUGCUGGGAUUACAGGCAUGAGCCACCACACCCAGCCAGCUUCUUUUUAAAAGUAGUUCAGUAUUACAUCUUAUCCUUUGCCCCUUUAAUUUUUGUUUCCAUUCUACUUCUCCAAGGACUUUAUACUAAGGUGAUGCAGUUUAUGUUUGAAAGUCUAGUGUUAGACUGACCUUUAGUACUUCCCUGCAACAAAAACUAUGUGUAUUGAAAUCUAUGAAAAUAUUGUUAUUUCCUUGAAUAAUAAAGCUCUAAGUGUUAGAAGAAAAGUCUUUUUCAAGUUAUAAUAAUUAUUACAGGCCAGGCGUGGUGGCUCACGCCUAUAAUCCCAGCAUUUUGGGAGGCUGAGGCAGGUGGAUCACGAGGUCAAGAGAUAGAGACCAUCCUGGUCAACGAGGUGAAACCCCGUCUCUACUAAAAAUACAAAAAUUAUCUGGGCAUGGUGGUGUGCACCUGUAGUCCCAGCUACUCGGGAGGCUGAGGCAGAAGAAUUGCUUGAACCCAGGAGACGGAGGUUGUGGUGAGCUGAGAUCGUGCCAUUGCACUCCAGUCUGGGUAACAACAGCGAAACUCCGUCUCAAAAAAAAAUUAUUACUAGAGCAUAGUUGAUGAAAACAACAAAAUAUUGUAAAUGUUGAUAUAAUUUUAAUUUUUGCUUCAUAUUUAUUGAAAAUAGGUUAGAUGAAGUUUUUUAAACACAUUAGUGCCCAGAAACUUUGUUUACAUGAGUAAAUAGAUGGGAAUGAUAGUUUUGUUUCAGUAUCACUCAGUUAUUUGAACUGUUUCCAUAAUAAUGCCAAAAGUAUAAUUUGUCAUUAGACAUGAUUUUCCUUAAUCUAUCAGAUGACACUUCCACUAGGACCUCCUUGUGUUUUGUUGAAAGCAGAGAAUCAGAAAGUUUCUGACUUAUGGAGUCUUUCUUAUCCUGACCUCAGAGCUAGGCACCGUGUCAGCACUAGUGUCAGUGUUUUAAGUUGUCCCCUUGUUUGGUGCCCCUAGGGCAGUGCUGCCGAGUAGCCUUCCAGGUGGGAGCGAAGGAUUGGGGGCUGCCUUUGUGAAGUGAGAGGGGGGCAGUGGUGGUGGUAGAAGAAGAGAGGCUGCAUCCCCUCAUAGGAGUGUGUGCCUUCUCAGGCUAAUGAAUUGUAGGAAAGAGAACAUAGGAAAAAAACGUCUUUUGUGUCCAUACGUCCCAUUUUGCAGAUAUGGUCCUACACAUCUUAUAUGCCAGGCCCAAUUCUGGGCUCUGGAAGAGUCAAGGAAACCCAUGCCUCUGUAGGAGCUGGGUUAGUGGUGUCGAGAGGGCUAGUUUGGGUGCUUACGAAGCCAUGCUACACAUUGCAUUGGUGAUUGGAAAAACUUGCUGUCCUUGCCCUCCAGGGGGUUAUCAACUGAGGUCACAUGAUAAAGCAAAGCAGUCCCCUGCCCCCGCCAUCCCCCUGCAAAAUAACCCUGCAAGAACUAAAGAAAACCCUAUGCUAGAUCUUGUUAUUUAAUGUGUUCAUAAAGCACUUACAUUACUCUGGCAUGAUUUUUUUUUUUUUGAGACAGAGUUUCACUCUUUUUUUUUUUUGGAGACGGAGUUUCGCUCUUGUUACCCAGGCUGGAGUGCAAUGGCGCAAUCUCGGCUCUCCGCAACCUCCGCCUCCUGGGUUCAGGCAAUUCUCCUGCCUCAGUCUCCUGAGUAGCUAGGAUUACAGGCACGCGCCACCAUGCCCAGCUGAUUUUUUGUAUUUUUUUUAAGUAGAGACGGGGUUUCACCAUGUUGACCAGGAUGGUCUUGAUCUCUUGACCUCGUGAUCCACCAGCCUCAGCCUCCCAAAGUGCUGGGAUUACAGGCUUGAGCCACCGUGCCCGGCCUACGGAGUUUCACUCUUGUUACCCAGACUGGAGUGCAAUGGCGCAAUCUCGGUUUACCGCAACCUCCGCCUCCUGGGUUCAAGCAAUUCUCUUGCCUCAGCCUCCUGAGUAGCUGGGAUUACAGGCACGUGCCACCAUGCCCAGCUAAUUCUUUGUAUUUUUAGUAGACACGGGGUUUCACUAUGUUGACCAGGAUGGUCUAGAUCUCUUGACCCUCGUGAUCCACCAGCCUCGGCCUCCCAAAGUGCUGCGAUUACAGGUUGAGCCACUGCGCCCCGCCACUCUGGCAUAAUUUUUAAUUUUUUUUUUUUUUCCUGAGAUGACUCUCUGUCACCCAGGCUGUAGUGCAGUGGCGCGAUCUUGGCUCACUGCAACCAACACCUCCUGGGUUGAAGCAGUUCUCCUGCCUCAACAUCCCUGAGUAGCUGGGACUACCGGCACACACCACCACAGCCAGCUACUUUUUUUUUUUUUUAAAUAGAGAUGAGGUUUCACUGUGUUGGCCAGGUUGAUCUCAAACUCUUGUCUUCAGGUGAUCUGCCUGCCUCAGCCUCCCGAAGUGCUGGGAUUAUAGGCAUGAGCCACUAUGCCCAUGCUUUUUUUUUUUUUUUUUUUUGACAGAGUCUCGCUCUGUCACUAGGCUGGAGUACAAUGGCGCAAUCUGGGAUCACUGCAACCUCUGACUCCCUGGUACAAGUGAUUCCCCCCCUCAGCCUCCCGAGUGGGUGGGAUUACAGUCACGUGCCACCAUGCCAAGGUAAUUUUUUGUAUUUCUAGUAGAGACAGGGUUUCACCAUGUUGGCCAGGAUGGUCUCUUGAUCUGUCCACCUCGGCCUCCCAAAAUGCUGGGAUUACAGGCAUUAGCCGCCGUGACUGGCCCUUUUUAAAUGUUUUAAUAAGCCAGGCAUGGUGGCUCACGCUUGUAAUCCCAGCACUUUCAGAGGCUGAGGCAGGUGGAUCACCUGAGUUCCGGAGUUUGAGACCAGCCUGACCAACAUAGAGAAACCCCAUCUCUAUUAAAAAUACAAAAAUAGCUGGGCAUGGUGGCACACACCUGUAAUCCCACCUACUCAGGAGGCUGAGGCAGGAGAAUCAUUUGAACCCGGGAGGCAGAGGUUGCUGUGAGCCGAGAUGGUACCAUUGCCUGGGCAAAAAGAGUGAAACUUUGCUAAAAAAAGAAAUGUUUUAAUAACUGGAUUUCAACUGAAUAAUGGUUUCCUUUGUAAUCUGACAUUUUAUUUCAGGCAUUUUUUUUUUUUUUUGAGAUGGAGUCUCACUCUGUCCCCCAGGCUGGAGUGCAGUGGCACGAUCUUUGCUCACUGCAACCUCCGCCUCCUGGGUUCAAGCGAUUCUCCUGCCUCAGCCUCCUUAGUAGCUGGAAUUACAGGCACACGCCACAACACCUGGCUAAUUUUUGUAUUUUUAGUAGAGGCAGGGUUUUACCAUGUUGGUCAGACUGGUGUCAAACUCCUGACCUCAUGAUUCACCUACCUCGGCCUCCCAAAUACUGGGAUUACAAGUGUGAGCCACCGCACCCGACCAUAAACCAUUUUUAGAAGGGGUUAGGCUUUUCUAGACUGCCAAAGGGUCCAUGGCACGAAAGAGAUGAAGAACUGUGCACUCAGUGCUGGCCACUUCCACAUACCCCAAAUAGAUUCCUGAGUCCCAGAUGACAGUUUCAAUACAGUGGUUUCAUGGAAGGACCCUGCACAGAGUUGGUGCUUGGCACAAUGUUACUGGCUUGGGAUAGCACCAUAGGUAACUUAAAUGCUGCAUUAGACUCUCAGACCCAUUAUUGCCCCGUAUCAUCCUAAGGGUGCAGCUAUCUCCUGUAAGCAUCAGUGAAUCCACCUGGAACUGCCAGGGAGGUGUGGUUCCCAAGAGUCAUUGACCUUCCUUGCUCCACCUUUCCAUCUAUGAGCGAGGAAACUUUCAUUGCCUCCGGAUUGUGUUUCAAAACAAUGGAGAAUGUUCUUGGUUUUAUUACUAAGUAAUCUUGACCUCUGGCUUUGUAGUUAUUGUUUGGUUUGUUUCUUUAACAUCUUGACAUUCAUUAUUUUCUUCCUGGUGCUUUCUUAGGCAGUUGAUUUUCUACACGCACCAGCUCCCCUGACUGGAAGCUACAGAGCUGCAUUUAGAUCAGGUUUCUUGCAUGCUGCUGGCUUUAUCUCAUUUGCAGUAUCACAUUUCUGUUGCCAUACACUGUAGGAUCUGAGCCUCCCCACAGCUUCUGAACAAUUAGUAAUUGAACAGGAAGUGUGUUUUUAUUACAGUUGGCCUUUUGAUUUUGAUUUUACAAUCAUAUAGUGUUUAGCAGAGAGCAGAGGUGGGCAAGUGGCUCUCUGAAACACGUUUUUGACAGAGAGAAGUCUGUUGUUUCAGCCACUUGGCUAUCUGUCAGUGGUUCUCAGACUUCCCCCUUGUGUGGGUUGCCUGGCAACCUGGGGCUGGAGCAAUCAAACCGUGGCCGGUGCUUCUCCAGCCCAGAUUGUGAGAUGAUUUAUUGGUGGAACUGAGUGAGAUCUGGCUGGACGUAGUGGCUCACGUCCAUAAUCCCAACUCUUUGGGAGGCUGAGGCAGCAGGAUUGCUUGAAAUCAAGAGUUCAAGACCAGCCUGGGCAACAUAAUGAGAACCUUAUCUCUACAAAAAGAUAUUUUCAAAAUUAGCUGGGCAUGGUGACACACACCUAUAGUCUGACCUACUUGGGAGGCCAAGGCAGGAGGAUCAUUUGAGCCCAGGAGUUCCAUGACACCACUGCAGCCUAGAUGGCAGAGCAAGACUCUGUCUCUUAAAAGUAAUAAUAAAAUCUAACACCCCUUUUUGAGGUUUCUCCUUCAUAGCAUCUCAAAUAUCACAAAUGAGGAGGAAGAAGACUCUUAUUUCUGGGUACAUACUGUGUGGGAGUCGGGGGAGCAGAAGUCUCAGCCUGGGUUAGCAGUAAGUUGAGCCUUCCUUAUUGUAAAAUUUUAGAGACAUACCUUGGAACUCAAACUCACCUCUGCAUGCAGGCCAGUGGAUCCAGCUAUGUAUGUAAAUGAGCUAUUAGUAUGUUUAUAUUCCUUAUAUAUAUGCAGAUCUAAUCUGUUUGUGUGUGUAAUUUACACACAGCUGUGUUCAUGCUCCCAUAUUACCAACAUUUUCAGCAAGAGUGAGGUAUCAUGGGACCUCUAUUGUUCCAAACAAAAGCCAGCAGAGUAGCCUUGUGGUGGGGCCCAUUACCAGCCCCUGAUCUUGGGACCCUCCCAUGGGGAACUCUCUUGAAAGUGAGAGCCAUCCUGUAUGGAGUAGGCAGGAGACCAGAGUGCCUGUAAUAGGGGGAAAAACCCCAAAAUAAAACAAUGACCACCUGUUAGACAGGGAUCUGCAUUAUGACUGAGGUUUGGCUUUUGUAAUUGAAAUGCCCCCACCACCCCCACCCUGGACUACAUUUCCUAAAGGGAU
Non-coding RNA from Callithrix jacchus (white-tufted-ear marmoset), 26962 nucleotides. Lineage: Eukaryota; Metazoa; Chordata; Mammalia; Primates; Cebidae. The record is from RefSeq and is a predicted model, not a curated record.